Molecule: ribosomal RNA, 371 nt
Filed under: uncultured bacterium
Lineage: Bacteria
Description: bacterial SSU rRNA
Rfam family: Bacterial small subunit ribosomal RNA
Source: RNAcentral
ACGUAGGGUGCAAGCGUUAAUCGGAAUUACUGGGCGUAAAGCGUGCGCAGGCGGUUCGCUAAGACAGAUGUGAAAUCCCCGGGCUUAACCUGGGAACUGCAUUUGUGACUGGCGGGCUAGAGUAUGGCAGAGGGGGGUAGAAUUCCACGUGUAGCAGUGAAAUGCGUAGAGAUGUGGAGGAAUACCGAUGGCGAAGGCAGCCCCCUGGGCCAAUACUGACGCUCAUGCACGAAAGCGUGGGGAGCAAACAGGAUUAGAUACCCUGGUAGUCCACGCCCUAAACGAUGUCAACUAGUUGUCGGGUCUUCAUUGACUUGGUAACGUAGCUAACGCGUGAAGUUGACCGCCUGGGGAGUACGGUCGCAAGAUUA